GAACGAGAGAGCCGUUUCCCUUCCUCCCCGAUUCCGAUAGCGGGGCUACAUCGCGGAACACCGCGGCCGUCGAAGCAGCGAGUCUCGCGGCGACGCUCGUGCCGAUUCUGGAAGUCGAGAGCCACGGAAGCGGUUUCACGCGACGAGCUUGGACGCGCCACAGCUGUCACGCACCAGCGAAUCGCCCACCACCCGUCGAACCGUCGACUCGAGGAACCAGAACCGCGACGAACGAACUGCCAUGCCGAGCACCGCGACCGCUGGCAACGCCAUCUGCACGGUGCAUGGAGGACGACGUAACGCUGAUCGCGAUCUUAUUGUGCCGCUCAUCGGACAAGCGUGGUAGUGAUGAUGCAGAUUGGACCACAAAAGCUGAUAUCAGAAUAUUAAUUGAAAAUUGGAUAAUAUCCAAGUUGUUUUCACGAGAAACAUUUUGAUUCCGUUAAAAAUGUUUUUAACCUCACUCUUGAAAAACGGAACUUGGAACUAUUACAAGAUCUUUUACGCACACACAUAGAUAUACGCGUCUGAUCAUGCAUCAUUGUACAAAUAUAGAUUGUAAAAAUAUAUAUAAUAUAUCACAAAGAAUAUU
Molecule: long non-coding RNA, 592 nt
Organism: Ooceraea biroi (clonal raider ant)
Lineage: Eukaryota; Metazoa; Arthropoda; Insecta; Hymenoptera; Formicidae
Source: RefSeq, a predicted model, not a curated record